This 440-nucleotide ribosomal RNA is filed under the name uncultured bacterium. RNAcentral's name for it is "partial 16S ribosomal RNA". It matches the Rfam family "Bacterial small subunit ribosomal RNA", at positions 338 to 795 of the family's 1533-position model. The record is from RNAcentral.
CCUACGGGAGACAGCAGUGGGGAAUAUUGCACAAUGGGGGAAACCCUGAUGCAGCGACGCCGCGUGAGUGAAGAAGUAUCUCGGUACGUAAAGCUCUAUCAGCAGGGAAGAAAAUGACGGUACCUGACUAAGAAGCCCCGGCUAACUACGUGCCAGCAGCCGCGGUAAUACGUAGGGGGCAAGCGUUAUCCGGAUUUACUGGGGGUAAAGGGAGCGUAGACGGCAGCACAAGUCUGGAGUGAAAUCCCUGGGCUUAACCCCGGAACUGCUUUGGAAACUGUGCGGCUGGAGUGCAGGAGGGGUAAGCGGAAUUCCAAGUGUAGCGGUGAAAUGCGUAGAUAUUAGGAGGAACACCAGUGGCGAAGGCGACUUACUGGAAUGUAACUGACGUUGAGGCGCGAAAGCGUGGGGAGCAAACAGGAUUAGAUACCCUUGUAGUC